RNAcentral lists this ribosomal RNA (455 nucleotides) under Selenomonas sputigena. RNAcentral describes it as "bacterial SSU rRNA". It matches the Rfam family "Bacterial small subunit ribosomal RNA", at positions 28 to 465 of the family's 1533-position model. Lineage: Bacteria; Bacillati; Bacillota; Negativicutes; Selenomonadales; Selenomonadaceae. The record is from RNAcentral.
GACGAACGCUGGCGGCGUGCUUAACACAUGCAAGUCGAACGGGAACCUUUAUUUCGGUAAAGGAGAGAGUGGCAAACGGGUGAGUAACACGUAGGCAACCUGCCGACAGGAUGGGGACAACAUUCCGAAAGGAAUGCUAAUACCGAAUGGAGUCCGAGGAUGGCAUCAUCCUUGGAUCAAAGAUGGCCUCUUAACAAUGCUAUCGCCUGUCGAUGGGCCUGCGUCUGAUUAGCCAGUUGGCGGGGUAACGGCCCACCAAAGCGACGAUCAGUAGCCGGUCUGAGAGGAUGAACGGCCACAUUGGGACUGAGACACGGCCCAGACUCCUACGGGAGGCAGCAGUGGGGAAUCUUCCACAAUGGGCGAAAGCCUGAUGGAGCAACGCCGCGUGAGUGAAGAAGGUCUUCGGAUCGUAAAGCUCUGUUGCACGGGACGAAAAACUGGGUUUGAAAAAC